Molecule: ribosomal RNA, 255 nt
Filed under: uncultured bacterium
Lineage: Bacteria
Description: partial 16S ribosomal RNA
Rfam family: Bacterial small subunit ribosomal RNA
Source: RNAcentral
UACGUAGGGGGGCAAGCGUUUGUCCGGAAUCAUUGGGCGUAAAGCGCGUGUAGGCGGCCCGAUAAGUCCGCUGUGAAAGUCCAGGGCUCAACCCUGGGAUGCCGGUGGAUACUGUCGGGCUCGAGUCCGGAAGAGGCGAGUGGAAUUCCUGGUGUAGCGGUGAAAUGCGCAGAUAUCAGGAGGAACACCAAUGGCGAAGGCAGCUCGCUGGGACGUGACUGACGCUGAGACGCGAAAGCGUGGGGAGCAAACAGG